RNAcentral lists this ribosomal RNA (378 nucleotides) under uncultured organism. RNAcentral's name for it is "partial 16S ribosomal RNA". It matches the Rfam family "Bacterial small subunit ribosomal RNA", at positions 524 to 896 of the family's 1533-position model. The record is from RNAcentral.
CGGGGGGGGGGCGAGCGUUGUUCGGAAUUACUGGGCGUAAAGGGCGCGUAGGCGGGUUGGGAGAAGUUUCAGGGUGAAAGCCCCGGGCUCAACCCGGGAAGGUCCUGGAAAACCAUCGGACUUGAGUGCUGGAGAGGCAAGCGGAAUUUCUGGUGUAGCGGUGAAAUGCGUAGAUAUCAGAAGGAACACCGGAGGCGAAGGCGGCUUGCUGGACAGCAACUGACGCUGAGGCGCGAAAGCCAGGGGAGCGAACGGGAUUAGAUACCCCGGUAGUCCUGGCCGUAAACGAUGGGUACUUGGUGUUGUUGACGAGAAGGUUGGCAGUGCCGGCGAAAACUCGUUAAGUACCCCGCCUGGGGAGUACGAUCGCAAAGAUUG